This 204-nucleotide long non-coding RNA is filed under the name Actinidia chinensis (golden kiwifruit). RNAcentral's name for it is "long non-coding RNA (ACHI_LNC008004)". Lineage: Eukaryota; Viridiplantae; Streptophyta; Magnoliopsida; Ericales; Actinidiaceae. The record is from RNAcentral.
GGUAGUCAAUAGUCUCUUAGUAGCAUCCCACCAGUGUCUAGCCUCGCCUUUCAGCCUAAACGGAGCCAAAAUCAUUUUCUCCUCAUCAGUAACUCUCAUCACAUCAAAAAUCGAUUCCAUUCUUUUAAGCCAUUCUUCUGCUUCCAAUGGUUUAAUAGACCCAAAGAAAUCAGGAGGAUCGAAUUUCAAAAAUUGCAUAUGUAU